UACAGAGGUCUCAAGCGUUGUUCGGAUUUAUUGGGCGUAAAGGGCGCGUAGGCGGCGGGGUAAGUCGGGUGUGAAAUCUCAGGGCUCAACCCUGAAACUGCACUUGAUACUGCUCUGCUUGAGGACUGGAGAGGAGACUGGAAUUCACGGUGUAGCAGUGAAAUGCGUAGAUAUCGUGAGGAACACCGGUGGCGAAGGCGGCAUCCUGGACCAAUACUGACACUGAGGAGCGAAAGCCAGGGGAGCAAACGGG
RNAcentral lists this ribosomal RNA (253 nucleotides) under uncultured bacterium. RNAcentral describes it as "partial 16S ribosomal RNA". It matches the Rfam family "Bacterial small subunit ribosomal RNA", at positions 524 to 776 of the family's 1533-position model. The record is from RNAcentral.